GAUGAACGCUGGCGGCGUGCCUAAUACAUGCAAGUCGAGCGAACAGACGAGGAGCUUGCUCCUCUGACGUUAGCGGCGGACGGGUGAGUAACACGUGGAUAACCUACCUAUAAGACUGGGAUAACUUCGGGAAACCGGAGCUAAUACCGGAUAAUAUAUUGAACCGCAUGGUUCAAUAGUGAAAGACGGUUUUGCUGUCACUUAUAGAUGGAUCCGCGCCGCAUUAGCUAGUUGGUAAGGUAACGGCUUACCAAGGCAACGAUGCGUAGCCGACCUGAGAGGGGGGUCGGCCACCCUGGAACUGAGACACGGUCCAGACUCCUACGGGAGGCAGCAGUAGGGAAUCGUCCGCAAUGGGCGAAAGCCUGACGGAGCAACGCCGCGUGAGUGAUGAAGGUCUUCGGAUCGUAAAACUCUGUUAUUAGGGAAGAACAAAUGUGUAAGUAACUAUGCACGUCUUGACGGUACCUAAUCAGAAAGCCACGGCUAACUACGUG
This 497-nucleotide ribosomal RNA is filed under the name uncultured bacterium. Its description in RNAcentral is "partial 16S ribosomal RNA". It matches the Rfam family "Bacterial small subunit ribosomal RNA", at positions 28 to 507 of the family's 1533-position model. The record is from RNAcentral.